AGAAAAUGUUGCUCAAAUAUUCUGUAUAUUUAGCCCUGACCUUUACAUUGGUGUUUUCUAAAGAAACAAAUUAUCAACGCAAUUAUCGUGCCAAAUUGGCCAGGGCAACGAUUUCUGGUCCUUGCCGUGUUGCAGACCCAGGAAAGUGUGUGAAUAUACACGGAAAAUGCGAUGGUAAUAAGUAUCAAGCUCCAGAAUGUCAAAUGCCAUCAGUCUGUUGUGUCAGGUCCA
This 231-nucleotide small RNA is filed under the name Drosophila pseudoobscura pseudoobscura. RNAcentral describes it as "GA32848". The record is from RNAcentral. Lineage: Eukaryota; Metazoa; Arthropoda; Insecta; Diptera; Drosophilidae.